Molecule: ribosomal RNA, 253 nt
Filed under: uncultured bacterium
Lineage: Bacteria
Description: partial 16S ribosomal RNA
Rfam family: Bacterial small subunit ribosomal RNA
Source: RNAcentral
CACGGGGGGAGCAAGCGUUGUUCGGAAUCACUGGGCGUAAAGCGCACGUAGGCGGCGCAGCAAGUCAGGGGUGAAAUCCCGGGGCUCAACCCCGGAACUGCCUUUGAAACUGCAGUGCUAGAAUCUUGGAGAGGCGAGUGGAAUUCCGAGUGUAGAGGUGAAAUUCGUAGAUAUUCGGAAGAACACCAGUGGCGAAGGCGACUCGCUGGACAAGCAUUGACGCUGAGGUGCGAAAGCGUGGGGAGCAAACAGG